AAUUGAUUUUGUCAAAGAUUAUUGAGGGAGAAAUUGACACUAAAGAGAAUUGGAUAUUUUUGACAAAAUUUUGUUUCAUAUCACAAAACGGUAUCUUUGAAUACAAUAUAUCGUAUCCAAAGAGUUAUGGACCGCAAAAUAUAUUACUAUAUUUUGACUCCAAAACCCAGUGGCCAGAAGCUAAUCAAACGGAUAAAUCAUGUGAGGAUAAACAUAGACUAUUGGCUAACGACAACAAUCAGAUCAUCCAAUUGACCGAAUACUCCAGCAAAGUUCGGGCCACUCACGCAUCGGGAUGUAAACUAUAUCGGGAACAGUACGACAACGGGACACUAUGGUAUCGGUGCGUACAUUACCGCAAGUUUAGCACCACUAGGGAACGGUGGUGGUUCAUAGCCAUUGAUAAUUGUCAAUCAA
Oppia nitens is the source of this 417-nucleotide long non-coding RNA. RefSeq lists it as uncharacterized. NCBI's taxonomy places the organism in Eukaryota, Metazoa, Arthropoda, Arachnida, Sarcoptiformes, Oppiidae. The record is from RefSeq and is a predicted model, not a curated record. The transcript has 4 exons.